Molecule: ribosomal RNA, 450 nt
Filed under: uncultured bacterium
Lineage: Bacteria
Description: partial 16S ribosomal RNA
Rfam family: Bacterial small subunit ribosomal RNA
Source: RNAcentral
GUGGGGAAUCUUCCGCAAUGGACGAAAGUCUGACGGAGCAACGCCGCGUGAGUGAUGAAGGUCUUCGGAUUGUAAAGCUCUGUUAAUCGGGACGAAAGAGCCUAGUGUGAAUAAUGCUAGGAAGUGACGGUACCGGAAUAGAAAGCCACGGCUAACGACGUGCCAGCAGCCGCGGUAAUACGUAGGUGGCAAGCGUUGUCCGGAAUUAUUGGGCGUAAAGCGCGCGCAGGCGGAUCUGCCAGUCUGUCUUAAAAGUUCGGGGCUUAACCCCGUGAUGGGAUGGAAACUACAGAUCUAGAGUAUCGGAGAGGAAAGUAGAAUUCCUAGUGUAGCGGUGAAAUGCGUAGAUAUUAGGAAGAACACCAGUGGCGAAGGCGACUUUCUGGACGAAAACUGACGCUGAGGCGCGAAAGCCAGGGGAGCGAACGGGAUUAGAAACCCCGGUAGUCC